GGGGGUGCCUGGUUUUGACAGCGUAGAUCUUUGAAAGUAUAAGCAUGCCGGGCGUUGCGUAAUUAGCCCGUUAAUCUGAAUACGAAAACUAUAAAUGGCAAUACACAAUUUGCCAUGGCUGCUUAAUUAUUAAUUAGGUAGUCAUUAUGGCCGAGUGAGAAGGCAGUCCUGUUGCCCACUCCUCCGCCCAAUCAAAAACAAAACAGGAUGCUGCUACGGAAGGCUGUGACUGUAGCAAAAGACCCAUGCAGCUAAGGAAUUGAUCGGUUGUUUGUUCCCAGUCAAUUCCCGACAACCUAAAAUAAAAUAAGCAUGUAGAAGGCUUUUGAAGAAUAUGUUUGGACACGAGUUCGACUCUCGUCACCUCCACGA
RNAcentral lists this transfer-messenger RNA (372 nucleotides) under Chitinophagaceae. RNAcentral describes it as "UTBCD1 sp005883855 Standard tmRNA". It matches the Rfam family "transfer-messenger RNA". Rfam says of the family: Bacterial tmRNA, also known as 10Sa RNA or SsrA, is named for its dual tRNA and mRNA-like properties. Its role is to liberate the mRNA from a stalled ribosome. Lineage: Bacteria; Pseudomonadati; Bacteroidota; Chitinophagia; Chitinophagales. RNAcentral also lists the same sequence under 1 other name. The record is from RNAcentral.